GACGUAGGGCGCGAGCGUUGUCCGGAUUUAUUGGGCGUAAAGAGCUCGUAGGCGGCUUGUCGCGUCGAAUGUGAAAACCCACGGCUCAACUGUGGGCUUGCAUUCGAUACGGGCAGGCUAGAGUUCGGUAGGGGAGACGUGGAAUUCCUGGAUGUAGCGGUGAAAUGCGCAGAUAUCAGGAGGAACACCGGUGGCGAAGGCGGGUCUCUGGGCCGAUACUGACGCUGAGGAGCGAAAGCGUGGGGAGCGAACAGG
Molecule: ribosomal RNA, 255 nt
Filed under: uncultured bacterium
Lineage: Bacteria
Description: partial 16S ribosomal RNA
Rfam family: Bacterial small subunit ribosomal RNA
Source: RNAcentral